GUUCAGGACAAGAGAGACUUUGAUCUGGGCUGCACACAUAUGGAAGUGAUUUUUGACAUUCCAUCCAGAUUAAAGCAUGUUUGGAGAAACAUUUCAUUAACCCCAUUUCUGGCUAUGGGAAGCAGGUGUGUUCCAGUGCCAGCAGGUUAAUAAAGCUUGACGGCAGUAGUGAAAUGUUCAGCACUCCCUCCAGUGCAGGCCAUGAAGAAGAGUAAAGGCCAUUAAAGCAACCAUCACAGUAACUCUCCUCUGCUUGCGCGCUGUAGGCUGUAACUCUGGUGGAUGUGAAGUUAAAGAUGAACCCUACUACUAUGCAGAAACACUGGAGAACAGAGAUAGAAAUGCCAGCACUGUCAGCAUGGUGUGUGAGUUCAGGCUCUGAC
Ictalurus punctatus (channel catfish) is the source of this 383-nucleotide long non-coding RNA. Lineage: Eukaryota; Metazoa; Chordata; Actinopteri; Siluriformes; Ictaluridae. The record is from Ensembl.